This 800-nucleotide ribosomal RNA is filed under the name uncultured bacterium. Its description in RNAcentral is "bacterial SSU rRNA". It matches the Rfam family "Bacterial small subunit ribosomal RNA", at positions 8 to 805 of the family's 1533-position model. The record is from RNAcentral.
AGAGUUUGAUCCUGGCUCAGGAUGAACGCUGGCGGCGUGCUUAACACAUGCAAGUCGAACGAAGCACCUGUGAUUGAGACUUCGGUCAAUUGACCAGGUGACUUAGUGGCGGACGGGUGAGUAACGCGUGGGUAACCUGCCGUAUGCAGGGGGACAACAGUUGGAAACUACUGCUAUUACCGCAUAAGCGCACAGCAUCGCAUGAUGCAGUGUGAAAAGCCGAGACGGCAUACGAUGGACCCGCGUCUGAUUAGCUAGUUGGUGAGGUAACGGCCCACCAAGGCGACGAUCAGUAGCCGACCUGAGAGGGUGAUCGGCCACAUUGGAACUGAGACACGGUCCAGACUCCUACGGGAGGCAGCAGUGGGGAAUAUUGGGCAAUGGGCGCAAGCCUGACCCAGCAACGCCGCGUGAAGGAAGAAGGUUUUCGGAUUGUAAACUUCUGUCCUUGGUGACGAAGGAAGUGACGGUAGCCAAGGAGGAAGCCCCGGCUAACUACGUGCCAGCAGCCGCGGUAAUACGUAGGGGGCAAGCGUUGUCCGGAAUGACUGGGCGUAAAGGGCGUGUAGGCGGCUUAAUAAGUGUGAAGUGAAAGUCCUGCUUUCAAGGUGGGAACUGCUUUGCAAACUGUUGAGCUUGAGUACGGAAGAGGUAAGUGGAAUUCCCAGUGUAGCGGUGAAAUGCGUAGAGAUUGGGAGGAACACCAGUGGCGAAGGCGACUUACUGGGCCGUAACUGACGCCGAGGCGCGAAAGCGUGGGGAGCGAACAGGAUUAGAUACCCUGGUAGUCCACGCUGUAA